UGCUCUUAGUUUAAAAUUCUUGUAACUGGUGAUAAGAAUUGCUGUUUUGUAGCAGUAAUAGUCUAUCAUGCACUUUGUAUAGAAAAUGAGGAUACGUAAAACUUGGAAAGCAACAUCUUUGUCCUCAAAACUCCCAAGCUACACCGAUGACAAAAUGCCGAUUAACACAAAUAAUAAAAUAACAAUAGUAAUGAAGUAAAAUCCUGCUGGCUUCCAGAAAUCACUCUAAAAGGAACAUCUGACGCUAGUUUUUUGUUUUGUUUUUUUUUUCAGUUCUGUUCUUUCCUUUAAGAUUUGGGCAAUCAAGGCUCUAGUUUUUGAAAUAUCCUGCAUAUUUCGUGCACUUGAGGGGAAUUUUAUAAAGAGAUUUCAGGUGUUGUCAGUUUUUCGGCGAUUAUCAGGCAGCUAAAAAUACACAGCUUUCUGCUGUGCUGAAAACUCCUUUGCUCUCUUGCUUCCUGUUUUGUUUUGCCAGCAGGGGGCACUGGAGAGGGACGACUGGAUCGGAGAAGGGGCUUCAUCGCGAUUGGCUUGCUGCUUCUGUCGCGAUGCAGUGGCGCUUCGCCUUGGCUGCAGAGGCUGGUGGCAGCCUCCACCUUCUUUCCGCUCCUCCAGAAACAUCCUGCAGGGGUCGGUCAGUCACACCAGCAACAGCUGGGAGGCGCCCCUUCCUCAGCGGCCUGAGCUUAGCCUGGCGUCUCCUUCUCUAAAACCCUGCUCCCAGCAGCAGCCGGGCAGCCCUCCCUCCUCCGCAGGUGAAUGA
This is a long non-coding RNA of Callithrix jacchus (white-tufted-ear marmoset), 763 nucleotides long. NCBI's taxonomy places the organism in Eukaryota, Metazoa, Chordata, Mammalia, Primates, Cebidae. The record is from Ensembl.